UCUUAUGAUCUCCUUUGUGAAUAAGCCGCUACAGAUAUUUUUUUUCUAUAUUUUAUUUAAUUGUGUCAAGAACUUGGUUAGUUUUGGUCUGUUAAAAUUUCUUGUUAAAUUUACUCGACUUGAUUGAACUUGAUGCCAAUCAGAAGAAAUUACUGAUUGAAUGUAUUGGUGCAUGAAAACACUAGAUAGUAAAUGUGAGUGUUUGUAUGGUUCCUUGAGAUAUCUACGGUCAUAAACUCAAAAUUAAAGACCUUAUAGAGAUCCAUGUACUUCUCAUUUUAUGUAUUUAUUUUCCCUAGGCUGGGGAUAGAAUCUAUAUUUCUAAACUUUAUCUGAUGGUGUAGAUUCAAAAUAUUGUAGUGGUCAAACCACUCGACCAAAGAGCCACUGCCCUCACAAUUGUGAGGGCAGCAGUUCGAGUCCCCACAAAGCAUUAUGGGGGUUUCUAUCCCUUCCCAAUUAUGGAUAAUAUUUUAGUGAAGACAGUUUUCUCCCUUUCGAAAUGAGAGUGGAGUAGACGUCCUCGAAUAUUAGAGAGGGUUAAAGAUCUGAGCAGUGCUAUAUAAGAUUUCAUGUAAGACUAGUCUCGGUAAUUGUCUGAAUGUAAAUAACUUGAAAAAUAGGUUUGCACAGAAUUAAUUAUUCUGUCAUUGAGAUUGUUCUUUUAUAGAGAUUUACAGCACACAUAAAACUAUUAAAUCAGGAAAUUAAAUCACUGAUUUAAGGAAAGAAUAAUUUCUAGGUAGAUUUUCCUAAAAUACAUAGAUUUGCACCUAAAUAGCUAUGUUACAGCUAAUAUAUAAUUACAACACAUUUUUUUUCUAAUUUUCUAACACUCCCCCUCAAGCUGGUUUGAAGAUAUCCUCCAUAGCCAGCUUGCCAACUAGAAAAUUGAAUUGUUUUGUGUGUAGUCCUUUGGUAAAGACAUCAGCCACUUGUUCUCCAGUAGGAAUGUGCUCUAUAUGAACCAAUCCAUUAUCUAUCUUCUCCUUGAUGAAAUGCUUGUCAAUCUCCACAUGUUUUGUGCGGUCAUGAAGGACUGGAUUGUGUGCUAUUGAGAUUGCUGCCUUGUUGUCACAGUACAACUUCAUAGGAGAUGAUUUUGUCGCUUUUAACUCUUCCAACAGCCUCCUAAUCCACAUGAUCUCACAAAUACCAUGGGCUACAGCUCUAAAUUCAGCCUCAGCACUGCUCCUAGCUACCACAUUCUGUUUCUUGCUUCUCCAUGUAACCAAAUUACCACCUACAAAUGAACAGUAUCCAGAAGUGGAUCUUCGGUCUACUAUGCUUCCAGCCCAAUCUGCGUCUGUGUAGGCUUCAAUCUGCAAGUGUCCUUGUGGCUUAAACAUAAGUCCUUUGCCCGGUGUCCUUUUUAGAUACUUUAAAAUUCUGUAGACAGCUUCAAAGUGUGCCGGUCCUGGGACAUGCAUAAAUUGGCUAACCAUACUAACAGAGAAGGAUAUAUCUGGGCGUGUAUGGGAUAGAUAAAUCAUUCUCCCAACAACUCUCUGAUAAUGCUCCUUAUUCUUCACAUUCUCAGCUUCUGCAGGUUGCAGUUUCACAUUAGGUUCUAUAGGGGUUUCAACAGGUUUACACCCUAGCAUACCUGUCUCGUUUAACAAGUCGAUAACAUACUUCUUCUGAUUUACAAAAAUGCCUUCUCUAGAUCUAGCAAACUCCAUCCCAAGAAAGUAUUUUAAUGCUCCGAGAUCUUUAAUCUCAAACUCCUCAGCCAAUUUCUUUUUUAACUUUGCUAGCUCAUCACAAUCAUCCUCAGUUAACACGAUAUCAUCCACGUAUACUACAAGAUAGCUAUUUUACCAUCAUUUGAAUGCUUGUAAAACAUUGUAUGAUCAGCUUGACUUUGAAUAUAUGCAUAGCGCUUAAUCACCUUGCCAAAGCGCUCAAACCAAGCUCUUGGUGACUGUUUAAGUCCAUACAAGGACUUCUUCAAUCUGCACACUCUCCCAUUUCCACACCUUUCUUCAAAGCCUGGUGGGGAACUUAUAUAUACCUCUUCCUCAAGGUCUCCAUUAAGGAAAGCAUUUUUAACGUCCAAUUGGUGUAAGGGCCAAUUAGAGUUAACAGCAAAAGACAACAGGACCCUAAUUGAGUUGAUUUUAGCUACCGGAGCAAAGGUCUCUUGGUAAUCUAUCCCAUAGGUUUGAGUAAAACCUUUUGCAACAAGACGGGCUUUGUAUCUCUCGACACUCCCAUCUGCCUUACUCUUGAUAGUAAACACCCAUUUGCACCCCACAACUUUUUUUUCCAUUCGGUAAUUCUACCAUCUCCCAAGUAUCAUUCUUCUUCAAGGCAUUCAUCUCUUCAAACACAGCCAACCUCCAAUUCGGAUCACCAAGUGCUUCUUGAAUAUUUUUAGGCACAACAAAUUUUGAAAUGUUUGUAGUGAAAGCUCUAUAAUUGUCAGAAAGGUUUUGAUAGGAAAUAUAUUUGGCAAUAGGAUGUUUGGUACAGGUUCGGGUUCCUUUUCUAAGGGCAAUGGGGAGGUCAAGAUUAAGAUUCUGUUCAAGAAUAACAGGGGCUGGUUCCAAAAUAGAUUCAGGUGCAGAGUUCUCUUCCCUAGAAUUUGAUCGUAAUGGUAAGUUUAAGUCAGUAAUAGGAAAGGAAAAGGAAGGAACAAAAGAAGGAUUACUUGAGGCAUUUGGAUGACCAUUGCUUAGGGCUUUCGGUUGACCACGUGCUUGGAUAAUGGCCUGGUCUCUACCACCUCUAAGGACACCUUUCCUAGAAUAAACCACAGGCUCAAGAUUGUUUCUAUUUUUUUCCAUUCGUAGUAUUUCUUUUUCUGUCAGACCAAUGUCAGAUUCAGUUUCUUUAGGCCUAGUUUCCAAGGUUUCUUUUUCAAAAAAGGUAUCAAGUAGUGUGCUAGGUAAGGGUUCAGCAAUUUCCCAAAAAUUUGGUUCAACUAUCUUCUCCCCCUGAAGCAAAUUUUUGGUAAAGUAUGAUGUAUUUUCUAUGAAAGAAACAUCCAUAGUGACAAAAAAACAUUUUGUAAGGGGAUUAAAGCAUUUGUAACCUUUUUUAUUGGGUGCAUACCCUAUAAAAACACAUUUUUCAGCUCUUGGGUCUAAUUUAGACCUUAGCCUCUUUGGAGUGUGCACAUAUGCUGUGCAACCAAAUAUUUUCAAAGGUAAGUCAGAAUUGAUUCUAGAUUCUGGGAAUACUUUUUUUAAGCAAUCCAACGGGGUGAUAUAUUGUAAAACUUUGGUAGGCAUCCUGUUAAUAAGAUAUGAAGCUGUCAGUAUAGCAUCACCCCAUAGAUACUUUGGAACAUUCAUAUAAAAUAUCAUGGCUCUAGCUACUUCUAACAAGUGCUUGUUCUUACGCUCAACAAUGCCAUUUUGUUCAGGUGUGUCGGAACAAGAGGAUUGGUGUAAAAUUCCUUGUUCAUUUAAAAAAGUUUCCAAAACUUUAUUAAAAUACUCUGUUCCAUUGUCAGAUCUCAAAAUAUUAAUUUUUGUUUGAAACUGAGUUUCAAUCAUCCUAUAAAAUUCUUUAAAAAUCUGUUCUACAUCAUAUUUUUCUCUCAUUAAGUAAACCCAACACAAACGUGUAUGAUCGUCAAUAAAAGUCAAACCAUUUUUUUCCAAAAAUUGUGGUCACUUUUGAAGGACCCCAAACAUCACUGUGGAAUAAAUAAAACGGUCUUGAAGCAUGAUAAGGUUUUGGAAUAUAAGAUUUUCUUUGACUUUUUGCCAUUAAACAACUCUCACAUUGAAAUGAUGAAGGAUCAAUCCCUUUAAAUAGCACUGGAAAUAAAUGUUUUAAAUAAGGAAAACUUGGGUGGCCUAAACGACAAUGCCAAAGCAGAUAAAGAACUAAUACUACUUAGCCCUUGAACUAUUUUAUUACUAAGAAAUUUAUCCUCGAAAUAUUAGAGACCAUUAAUCAUCCUAGCACUGCCAAUCGUCUUCCCCGAGCUCCGGUCCUGCAAAAUGCAAUAAGAUUCAUAGAAAAUAACAGAACAGUUAGAGUCUCUAGAUAGUUUGCUAACUGACAAGAGAUUACAAGCAAGUUUAGGGACAUAGAGAACAAAUUUAAGAUCUACUCUCUCAGAAAGUUUAAUAAGGUCUUUUCCUACAAUUGGUGAGAAAUUACCAUCGGCUAUCCUAACCUUCUUAUUUUCGGGACAUGGUGAAAAAGUCUCAAACAAAUGUAAGGAAUUGGUCAUGUAGUCGGAUGCUCCUGAAUCUAUUAUCCAUGGAGCAUAUUUAAAUUGACAAGAUAGAGCAUAGAAUUUAUUACCUGUGUGUGCCACAGAAACACUGGGAACAUUGGGUACCGAAUUAAAUUUUAACAGUGCAAGAAGAUGCUCCAUCUGCUCUUUGGUGAAGGGGUUGGUCUCAACCUCAUUGGCAAUAGAGUUGGCUCGGCCAGCUUUCCCUUUCCAAUUUGCAGGUUUCCCAUGAAUUUUCCAGCAGGUCUCACAGGUAUGGCAAGGCUUAUGACAAAAAUCACACCAAACUUGCUGUUUUUCAUCAGAUUUGCGUUGCAAAAUAGGAGCCUUGCUUCCAGUCAUGGAGACCAGGGCAGAACCUUCAGCAACCCUAGUUCCCUUCUUGCCAAGCAUCACAUUCCUCCGACUCUCCUCUCUUCUGACCUCUGAAAAAACGUCACCAAUUGAAGGUAGGGGCUGUCUUCCAAUAAUUCUCCCCCUCACCUCAUCAAACUCGACAUUCAGUCCAGCCAAAAACUUAAAAAUGCGGCCAUCCUCUACAGUCUUUUUGUGAUGUUGAGCAUCCUCGGGAGAUUUCCACUCAUAGGUGUUGAAAAGGUCAAGGUCUUGCCAAAUUCGCUUUAAGGAAUUAAAAUAUUUUGUGACAUUGUGCUCCCCUUGUCGCAUCUCUCCGAGUUUGAGGAUCAACUCAAAAAUCUGUGAUUGAUUUCCGAGAUCAGAAUACAUCUGAUUUACAUUCUCCCAAAGCUCUUGUGCUGUUGGAUAGCACAUAUAAUUAGAGCUAAUAUCUUCUUCCAUUGAAUUCACAAGCCACGUCAUCACCAUGGAAUUCUCGGCAUCCCAUGUAACAUAGGCCGGAUCAUCCACUGCAGGAGCCUUCUUUUCACCAGUCAAAUAGCCCAUUUUUCCACGCCCUCUAAUAUACAUCCUAACUAACUGAGACCAUCUCAGAAAAUUGUCACCAUUCAAACGAAUUGUGGUGAUUUGUACAGAAUGAGAUUCUGAGGAGGUAGCACUGAUUUUUGAAACAUCCGUGCUACUAGGAUUGUUCAUAGAGGAUUGAGGGACAGUACUGGAAUUGGAUGAAGAGUCAGACAUGGUUUUAGGGUGCAGGGAUCAAAAGGAAGAAAAAAGGAAUUCCGGCAAGAUAUUCUUCCUGCUCUGAUACCAACUUGAAAAAUAGGUUUGCACAGAAUUAAUUAUUCUGUCAUUGAGAUUGUUCUUUUAUAGAGAUUUACAGCACACAUAAAACCAUUAAAUCAGGAAACUAAAUCACCGAUUUAAGGAAAGAAUAAUUUCUAGGUAGAUUUUCCUAAAAUACAUGGAUUUGCACCUAAAUAGCUAUGUUACAGCUAAUGACUAAUUUACAGCUAAUAUAUAAUUACAGCACAUAUUUUUUCUAAUUUUCUAACAAAAUAUAUCAGUAAUUAUCUCAUGUAAUAUGAGUUGUAAUCUGAGCAUUAGUCUUAUGUAAUUCAAUAUAUAUAUAUAGCGGUCCUUAAUCACAAAGGC
Molecule: long non-coding RNA, 5710 nt
Filed under: Citrus x clementina
Lineage: Eukaryota; Viridiplantae; Streptophyta; Magnoliopsida; Sapindales; Rutaceae
Description: Citrus clementina (C. clementina) long non-coding RNA (CCLE_LNC002023)
Source: RNAcentral